UACGCGUCCGCCUUCUCCUUCGUUUGCCAUCUUCGGUUUUGUAUUGCACACCAGAUGUCUGUUAGCAUCAACCAGAAGCAUCACUAUUUUGUUUGGGCUGCGUUGAAUCGAAGAAGACAUUGGUGCUCUGGGAAGAUAUUGUUUAGGCAUUGGACUUGACUCUUGUGUGACUUUCUUUUGUUAGAAUUUGCUUCACUGAGACCUACUAGUGCUGUGGUCUUUUCAUUUUAUUUGUCUGUGCGGUUUUUUACUAUUUCCAAUGGCGAAGCUUCCACCAGGGUUUCGCUUUCACCCUACUGAUGUUGAGCUG
Molecule: unclassified non-coding RNA, 310 nt
Filed under: Hevea brasiliensis (rubber tree)
Lineage: Eukaryota; Viridiplantae; Streptophyta; Magnoliopsida; Malpighiales; Euphorbiaceae
Source: RNAcentral